This 371-nucleotide unclassified non-coding RNA is filed under the name Hevea brasiliensis (rubber tree). Lineage: Eukaryota; Viridiplantae; Streptophyta; Magnoliopsida; Malpighiales; Euphorbiaceae. The record is from RNAcentral.
GGAAACUCUCACGGGAUGGAAGAUAAAUCCCACUCGAUUAAGCUUUCUCCUAAUAGAUGCAAGUAGGAAUGGAAGGUGGUACUGAGGAUCAAAGGGCCUACUUGGACAUCGGCAAUCAGCCUGCCUCUUGCUGGCCUUCUCGAGUUAUCAUAAGCGGUGAUGUACACGGGAGAAGGAGCCAGAGAGUCCUCAGAAAUGUCAAGGGCGCGCAGCGUGGAUAGAGGGCAGAUGUUGAGGGUUUUUUGAACUCGAGAGAUAGAACGAUUGCCGAUAAGAAGAGUUCAGUUCAGGGCUCUGAUAUGGGGAGAUAGCUUACCAUUGGGUAGGUCAUCAUCUGAGAAGGAUAUGGCCGUCGGUGCAGUGAGAAUUCC